GAUGAACGCUGGCGGCGUGCCUAAUACAUGCAAGUCGAGCGAACAGACGAGGAGCUUGCUCCUUUGACGUUAGCGGCGGACGGGUGAGUAACACGUGGAUAACCUACCUAUAAGACUGGGAUAACUUCGGGAAACCGGAGCUACUACCGGAUAACAUGUUGAACGGCAUGGAUCAACAGUGAAAGACGGUCUUGCUGUCACUUAUAGAUGGAUCCGCGCCGCAUUAGCUAGUUGGUAAGGUAACGGCUUACCAAGGCAACGAUGCGUAGCCGACCUGAGAGGGUGAUCGGCCACACUGGAACUGAGACACGGUCCAGACUCCUACGGGAGGCAGCAGUAGGGAAUCUUCCGCAAUGGGCGAAAGCCUGACGGAGCAACGCCGCGUGAGUGAAGAAGGUCUUCGGAUCGUAAAACUCUGUUAUUAGGGAAGAACAAAUGUGUAAGUAACUAUGCACGUCUUGACGGUACCUAAUCAGAAAGCCACGGCUAACUACGUG
This 497-nucleotide ribosomal RNA is filed under the name uncultured bacterium. RNAcentral describes it as "partial 16S ribosomal RNA". It matches the Rfam family "Bacterial small subunit ribosomal RNA", at positions 28 to 507 of the family's 1533-position model. The record is from RNAcentral.